CCCAAGUCAAUCUAGUGCAGUCAUCCACAAAUAUGAGAAAAUAUUUAUGUAACACCCCUUACCCGAUAGGUACCCACCGAAUAAGUGAUGUCACGUUUCAGUAUCGAAAACCCCGUGCUUAAAUUUUUCUUUUUCUUUUUAGCUUAAAAGCACAAUUAAAAUCUAUUACAUUUAAAAAACUUAACAUUUAUCCUACGGAAGAUUAAAGAUUAAACUAUUAUACAACAUGCCACGACUACUAAACCAAGUUGACCACCAGUGACUCGCAAAAGAUGCAAAGCUGCGCAACACCACUGACAUAAUAUCAACUCUAACCUGCAGGGGAAAAAGAGGGGGGAGUGAGCUCGAAAGCCCAGUAGCAAUAUCCAAACUACAGAAUCCAACCCUCUCAGCUAAGACAAUAGUAACUAUAAUAACUACAUUAUUUCCUUUUUAAUCUUUUGCUUAUUUUCAUUUCAAUUUUACAAAUUUCCAAAUUACUUACCAUCUCAUAAUCUUUGAAUUAAAGAAUACUUGUUCAGAUAACCACA
Long non-coding RNA from Salvia splendens (bonfire salvia), 530 nucleotides. RefSeq lists it as uncharacterized. The transcript has 2 exons. NCBI's taxonomy places the organism in Eukaryota, Viridiplantae, Streptophyta, Magnoliopsida, Lamiales, Lamiaceae. The record is from RefSeq and is a predicted model, not a curated record.